UUGUGAAGGGGCUUAAAUAUUUUAGAUUGUUCAUAUUGCUUUAAUAUCUACGGACUCCUUGUUAAAUAUCAUAGACAUUCUUUGUUCGAUACAAACAAACAAUAAGCACAAAAGAAAAUAGCAAAGCUUAAUUUAAUUUAUACUUUCAUACAAUAUUCACUUCUUUUUUUGAAUGAACAGUUUCGGGUGUUAAAAACUCUUUUAGUAUAAUCUGGCUGUUUGUCGACGAUCGCGUGCAAUCGUUGACCUAAUUCUGAUUUUAAAAAGUUCCGUACAUUUUCCCGCUCCGUUUGCGUUUCCGAUUGUCAAACUUUUUAGGGCGCCGAGUUGAAAUCAAAUAAAGUUUUUAAUAUUUUGUGAAAAUAUUUCCAGAUUUUGUUAGUGUUUAUUACUACUAGAAUACGCAAGCAGAAAUGGAGGGUUCGAGUAAAUCCACUGAAGAUAUACCCGAUCCAGAUUUCUUCAAUAAUAUUAAAGUUGCUAUUGAGAAAGAGCUCGAUAAGAUGAAGAAAAUUGUUAAUAAUAUCAACCAAAUGAGAGUGGAAGCUGCUUAUUUGGAAUCUGACUUGGUGCUGAUGAUUGAUGCGUCCACGUGGCAAGAUAUUUCCGAACUCAUUGGGAUUGGAACAUCCCCAAUGACUGAUGUUACAAUAAAAGAAGAAAAUAAAUAAAUUCAAA
Helicoverpa armigera (cotton bollworm) is the source of this 678-nucleotide long non-coding RNA. RefSeq lists it as uncharacterized. NCBI's taxonomy places the organism in Eukaryota, Metazoa, Arthropoda, Insecta, Lepidoptera, Noctuidae. The record is from RefSeq and is a predicted model, not a curated record. The transcript is spliced from 3 exons.